RNAcentral lists this ribosomal RNA (1572 nucleotides) under uncultured delta proteobacterium. RNAcentral describes it as "partial 16S ribosomal RNA". It matches the Rfam family "Bacterial small subunit ribosomal RNA". The record is from RNAcentral. Lineage: Bacteria; Deltaproteobacteria.
AGAGUUUGAUCCUGGCUCAGAGCGAACGCUGGCGGCACGCCUAACACAUGCAAGUCGAGCGAGAAAGUGACUUCGGUUGCGAGUAAAGCGGCGAACGGGUGAGUACAACGUGGGAUAAUCUACCCAAGGGGUNCCGGGGAUUAACCCCGAGAAAAAUCGGGUGCUAAAUACCCGGGAUUAAGACCCACGGGUAUUCCAUGGAUUACAGGGGUUAAAACGAUUUAUUCGCCCCUCGGAAUGAAGUUCCACGUUCCCAUUCAGGGUUAGUUGGGUAAAGGGUAAAGGCUUUACCCAAAGCCCUAAACGGGGUUAGCCGGGCCCUUUACCGGGGUGAACCGGGCCACAUUUGGNGGGACUGAGACACGGCCCCUGACUCCUACGGGGAGGGCAGCAGGUUGGGGGAACUAUUGGGCAAUGGGGGCGAAAGCUGACCCAGCGAUGCCGCGGUGAGGGAUGAAGGCCUUCGGGUCGUAAACCUCUGUCAGGAGGGACGAUUGGGACUUUGUCUUGACGGUACCUCCAGAGGAAGCCCCGGCUAACUCCGUGCCAGCAGCCGCGGUAAUACGGAGUGGGGCAAGCGUUGCUCGGAAUUACUGGGCGUAAAGUGGUCCGCAGGCUGUCGUGGUAAGUUGGAUGUGAAAGCUCAAGGCUUAACCUUGGAAUUGCAUCCAAAUACUGCCUGACUAGAGUCCAAGAGAGGUUGGCGGAAUUCCCGGUGUAGCGGUGAAAUGCAUAGAUAUCGGGAGGAACACCAGAGGCGAAGGCGGCCAACUGGCUUGGUACUGACGCUCAGGACGAAAGCGUGGGUAGCAAACCGGAUUAGAUACCCGGGUAGUCCACGCCCUAAACGAUGGAUGCUAAGUAGGGGGAAGUUGCUUCUCCCUGCCGUAGUUAACGCAUUAAGCAUCCCGCCUGGGGAGUACGGUCGCAAGGCUGAAACUCAAAGGAAUUGGCGGGGGCCCGCACAAGCGGUGGAGCACGUGGUUUAAUUCGAUGCUAAGCGAAAACCUUACCAAGACUUGACAUGUUAGCUUAAGCCCGUGUGAAAGCAUGCAUGUGGUUGGUUCCCGGGUUUUCCCGGAGCAGUUAUCACAGGUCGCCUGCAUGCAGUCGUCAGCUCGUGGCCGUGAGGUGAUCCGGCUAAGUCCGGUAACGAGCGCAACCCCUAUCCUUAGUCGCCAUCACUCUCCGGGUGGGCACCUCUGAAGAGACUCGCGCAGCGACAAGCCGGAGGAAGGUGGGGACGACGUCAAGUCAUCANGGCCCCACGUCUUGGGCUACACACGUGCNACAAUGGCUGGAACAAUGGGCAUGCGAACUCGACGAGAGAGAGCCAAUCCCAUCAAAGCCAGUCUCAGUGUCAGACUUGCAGGCUGCAACGUCGCCUGCACUGAAGUUGGAAGUCGCUAGUAAUCGUGGAUCAGCAUUGCCACGGUGAAACGUUCCCGGGCCUUGCACACACCGCCCGUCACACCACGAAAGUCGGUUCUGCCCGAAGUAGCUGUGCUAACCUUCGGGAGGCAAGUUCCUAAGUAGGGCUGGUAAUUGGGGUGAAGUCGUAACAAGUAGCCC